Long non-coding RNA from Oreochromis aureus, 205 nucleotides. RefSeq lists it as uncharacterized. The transcript has 3 exons. NCBI's taxonomy places the organism in Eukaryota, Metazoa, Chordata, Actinopteri, Cichliformes, Cichlidae. The record is from RefSeq and is a predicted model, not a curated record.
CUCUUUUUCUCCACGUGAGAUAAAUGCUGAAUUCCAGCGCAUCACUACGGUCCCGCUAACAUCCACAUUUAUGGCACAGCUGGACAACAACACAACCAAACUGACCAAAGUCUUCAGAAACAAGGGAGGAACAUCUGGACGCAAGAUCACAGAAAUCAUGGCUGCAAUUGAUGAGAACGACACAGUUGCAAUGAGAAGAGUGUGU